CCUACGGGGUGCAGCAGUGAGGAAUAUUGGUCAAUGGACGGAAGUCUGAACCAGCCAUGCCGCGUGCAGGAAGACGGCUCUAUGAGUUGUAAACUGCUUUUGUACAAGGGUAAACCUGAAUACGUGUAUUCAGCUGAAAGUACUGUACGAAUAAGGAUCGGCUAACUCCGUGCCAGCAGCCGCGGUAAUACGGAGGAACCAAGCGUUAUCCGGAUUUAUUGGGUUUAAAGGGUGCGUAGGCGGAUUGAUAAGUUAGAGGUGAAAUGUCCGAGCUUAACUCGGGAACUGCCUCUAAUACUGUUGGUCUAGAGAGUGGGUGCGGUAGGCGGAAUGUAUGGUGUAGCGGUGAAAUGCUUAGAGAUCAUACAGAACACCGAUUGCGAAGGCAGCUUACCAAUCUAUAUCUGACGUUGAGGCACGAAAGCGUGGGGAGCAAACAGGAUUAGAUACCCCAGUAGUC
RNAcentral lists this ribosomal RNA (460 nucleotides) under uncultured bacterium. RNAcentral describes it as "partial 16S ribosomal RNA". It matches the Rfam family "Bacterial small subunit ribosomal RNA", at positions 338 to 795 of the family's 1533-position model. The record is from RNAcentral.